RNAcentral lists this transfer RNA (100 nucleotides) under Felis catus (domestic cat). It matches the Rfam family "tRNA". From Rfam's summary of the family: Transfer RNA (tRNA) molecules are approximately 80 nucleotides in length. Their secondary structure includes four short double-helical elements and three loops (D, anti-codon, and T loops). The record is from Rfam by way of RNAcentral. Lineage: Eukaryota; Metazoa; Chordata; Mammalia; Carnivora; Felidae.
GCCUAGGUGGCUCAGUCGGUUAAGCAUCUGACUUAAGCUCAGGUCAGUCAUCUAAGCUAACUUAGGCUCACAGUUUGUGAGUUCGAGCCCACAUUGGGCU